CUUUCCACACCCUGUUCUCUUUAUAAGCCCCCGCUCCCCGCGCGGCUAGCUCCAUCCAUGCAACACUCUCCCCCUCCUCUCCUCCUCGUCGUCUAUGGUCUUCGCGUUCCCACCGCCAACAACACCAGCGCGCCUAGGUUGCUAGCUCACCAUGGCCUUGGCAUCCACCGCAAGGGCGGCAGCGGCAGUGGCGGCGACGGCGAUUCAUCAGCAAUGCGGGGGAGCGACGGCCGCGCAUACGCAGCAGCGGCGAGCCCGGUGCCGCGCGGCGGCUGCCAGCGUCGCCGCGGCGUGCGCGCCGGUGAAGGCAGUGGGGCCACGGCGCGGGGCGCGGAGCACCACGGGCACGGCGCCCGUGGUGGCGGGCAUGUGGCGGCAGCUGCAGGGGUGCGACGACUGGCAGGGGCUGCUGGAUCCGGCGGCGGCGGCGCACCCGGUGCUGCGCGCCGAGGUGGCGCGCUACGGCGAGCUGGUGCACGCGUGCUACAAGGCGUUCGACCUGGACCCGGCGUCGCGCCGGCACCUCAGCUGCAAGUACGGCCGCGGGCGGCUGCUGGAGGAGGUGGGCAUGGCCGGCGCCGGGUACGAGAUCACGCGCUACGUCUACGCGGCGUCCGACGUGGCGGUGCCCACCAUGGAGCCGUCCACCAGCGGGCGCGGCCGCUGGAUCGGCUACGUGGCCGUGUCCACGGACGAGAUGACGCGGCGGCUAGGCAGGCGCGACGUCCUUGUCUCGUUCCGCGGCACCGUGACGCCCGCCGAGUGGGUGGCCAACCUCAUGAGCUCGUUGGAGCCGGCGCGCCUGGACCCCUGCGACCCGCGCCCGGACGUCAAGGUGGAGUCGGGGUUCCUCAGCCUCUACACCUCGGUCGACACGACGUGCCGCUUCGGCGGCGCCGGGAGCUGCCGGGAGCAGCUCCUCCGCGAGGUGUCGCGCCUCGUCGGGUCGCGCGCCAAGGACAGGCCCGCAGCAGGCGAGGACGUCAGCGUCACCCUGGCGGGGCACAGCAUGGGGAGCGCGCUGGCGCUGCUCUUCGCGUACGACCUCGCGGAGCUGGGCCUCAACCGCGGCGCGCCCGUCACCGUCUUCUCCUUCGGCGGCCCCAGGGUCGGGAACGCCGCCUUCAAGGCCCGCUGCGACGAGCUGGGCGUCAAGGCGCUGCGCGUGGCCAACGUCCACGACCCCAUCACCAAGCUCCCGGGCAUCUUCCUCAACGAGGCCACGGCCGGGGUGCAGGCGCUGCGCCCGUGGCGCGCCUCCUGCUACACCCACGUCGGCGUGGAGCUGCCCCUCGACUUCUUCAGGAUGGGCGACCUGGCCAGCGUCCACGACCUCGGCACGUACGUCGCAUUGCUCAAGAGCGGCGACAAGGCGGGCGCGGCCUGGCGCGGCGACUGCGGCGUUCUGGCGAAGGUGGUCGAGUUCGUGGGGCGGCAACGCGCGGGCGCCUUGCCGUGGCAGGACGCCGCCCUGCAGAUGGGCGGCCUGGUGCAGACUCUGGGGCUCAUCUGAGUCUGGCAUCAGCAACCGGCGGCCGAGAUUUAACACGGCCAGGCCAGCAGCAGCAGCCCAGCACCCAGCACCCAGCAGUGGUCCUCUUGGAUAAUUUUAUUUACUCUUUUGGAGGAUCCCUUCCCUGGUCGUUUUUUUUCGGCAUUUCUUCUGUACAGAUCCAUUGAUCGAUCAACGUAGCCUGAUAUCUUCACAGGGGCGACAUCAAAAGGGAAUUUCUUCGUUUUAGAUUCGUUUUUUGUUGGCACAGAUACAGUGUACAGCCGGUAACCAUAUAACAGAAGCAAAGCUUGCUGGAAACAGAGCAGACAAACACGCAACAGAAGCCAUGUCAUCCGUUUUAUUUUACUCGAAAAACAAAG
This 1875-nucleotide unclassified non-coding RNA is filed under the name Zea mays. Its description in RNAcentral is "misc RNA Zm00001eb365630". The record is from RNAcentral. Lineage: Eukaryota; Viridiplantae; Streptophyta; Magnoliopsida; Poales; Poaceae.